AAGGUACUUGACUAUCACUUUUAUAAGCUUCUCCUUGGUUCUGGCGUUCAUAUGAAUAAAAGAGACAAACAUGUAUGAUUUACAACUCUAGGUUAACCAACCCAAUCGAUUCAACAUGUUUAGUUCUUCCACCUUUGUGAUCCCACACUCCUAAUCAUAUGAGCUAAAAUGUUGCACACUCAAUCUUUGAAAGAUAUAAAAAACAUAAAUAUAGAUAGAUUUUCUUUCCAUUAGAUUGAGCGAUCUGAUCUGACAAAUGUUUUAAAUACUACACUCAUGAUCUUAUUAUCCAUCAAAUUUAUCUUGCUCACUAUGCUUAAGAUUAGAGAAGAACAAAUACACUUUUGGUUCUAUUGGUGUUUUCCACCAACAGGACUAAUCCACUUGAUCUCUGCCUUGUCUCUAUGAGCAGGACACAUUUUGAGAAACACAGGGGAUUUUUCAACUCCCAAACUCUACCAAGUGAAGGACUUGGAUCUACGAGCACAAACACACUGAGCAAGAUACUGCCAACGCCGCACUUCGAACUACUGGGCAAACAAAGAACCGGGUGACACAGUAUCAAGAGGUGUAGACGUCAAGGUCCACACCUAAAUCAAAUGACGCACCUAAAGAAUGAACACGGUGAGAAGUCUUGUUCAAAAGACUUAAAACAUUGAACCCUCGCCGAAAGGUAAAAUCGGUAAUUAUCCAUAUUUAUCCUUUCUACAUUCCCAAAAGGCUUGUUAGUUAAUCAUGCUAUCUUGAAAAGAAAAUAAAAAUUUUAAAAAUAGUAAGCCCCAUGUGAGUAUGCUCGUGGUAUAAAACCCAUAAGUACAUUCACUGUGGUGGCGUAAAAAUAAAAUAAAUAUAUUCCUGUCCUAUAGAAAUGAAAAUAUAAAAAUAAAUUUAUGAUCCUACCAAAG
This 905-nucleotide long non-coding RNA is filed under the name Sorghum bicolor (sorghum). Its description in RNAcentral is "long non-coding RNA (SBIC_LNC002624)". Lineage: Eukaryota; Viridiplantae; Streptophyta; Magnoliopsida; Poales; Poaceae. The record is from RNAcentral.